UGGUCAAGUUAUUAAGGGUGCAGGGCGGAUGCCUUGGCACUAGGAGCCGAUGAAGGACGUGAUAAGCUGCGAUAAGCUUCGGGGAGUUGCACGUAAACUUUGAUCCGAAGAUUUCCGAAUGAGGAAACUCACUUAGAGUAAUGUCUAAGUAUCAUUAAGUGAAUACAUAGCUUAAUGAGGGGAACUCAGGGAACUGAAACAUCUAAGUACCUGAAGGAAGAGAAAGAAAUUCGAUUCCGUAAGUAGCGGCGAGCGAACGCGGAUUAGCCCAAACCAAUAAAGUUUUCUUUAUUGGGGUUGCGGACAUAUCAUAACGAAGAGGUAUCGUAAUUGAAGAGGUUUGGAAAGACCCACCACAGAAGGUAAUAGUCCUGUAUGUUAAACGAGAAGACUUUAGAUAUGAUCCAGAGUACCACGGGACACGUGAAACCCUGUGGGAAGCAGGAGGGACCACCCUCCAAGGCUAAAUACUACCUAGUGACCGAUAGCGUAUAGUACCGUGAGGGAAAGGUGAAAAGAACCCCGGGAGGGGAGUGAAAUAGAACCUGAAACCCUGCACUUACAAGCUGUGGAAGCACAUUUCUUGUGUGACCGCGUACUUUUUGUAGAACGGGCCAACGAGUUACGUUAAGUAGCAAGGUUAAGCACUUAAGGUGCGGAGCCGUAGCGAAAGCGAGUUUUAACUGAGCGUUCAGUUACUUGACGUAGACCCGAAACCGGGCGACCUACCCAUGAGCAGGAUGAAGCGAAAGUAAAAUUUCGUGGAGGUCCGAACCCACGAGCGUUGAAAAGCUCGGGGAUGACUUGUGGGUAGCGGUGAAAUUCCAAUCGAGCCCGGAGAUAGCUGGUUCUCCCCGAAAUAGCUUUAGGGCUAGCCUCAAGGUGAGAGAUACGGAGGUAGAGCACUGAAUGUCCUAGGGGGUAUUGCACCUACCGAAGACUAUCAAACUCCGAAUGCCGUCAUCUUAUACUUGGGAGUCAGACUGUGGGUGAUAAGAUUCAUAGUCGAAAGGGCAACAGCCCAGAUCGUCAGCUAAGGUCCCUAAAUGUAAGUUAAGUGGUAAAGGAUGUGGGAUUGCACAGACAACCAGGAUGUUGGCUUAGAAGCAGCCACUCAUUCAAAGAGUGCGUAAUAGCUCACUGGUCGAGUGAUCCUGCGCCGAAGAUUUCCGGGGCUAAAACUUACUACCGAAGCUACGGCAUCAGUAAUGAUGGGUAGGGGAGCUUCCCAUACGGGUUGAAGCAUGACCGUAAGGACAUGUGGACAGUAUGGGAGUGAGAAUGUUGGCAUGAGUAGCGAGAUGUGGGUGAGAAUCCCACAGGCCGUAAACCCAAGGUUUCCAGGGGAAGGUUCGUCCGCCCUGGGUUAGUCGGGACCUAAGCUGAGGCCGAAAGGCGUAGGUGAUGGACAACAGGUUGAUAUUCCUGUACUACCGAUAACCGUUUGAGAGAAGGGAUGACACAGUAGGAUAAGCUAAGCACACUGUUGGUUAUGUGUGCCCAAGCAUUGAGGCAGUCAAAGUAGGCAAAUCCGCUUUGAUAAUGCUGGGAUGUGAUGGGGAGCGAAAUUUAGUAGCGAAGUAGCUGAUUUCACACUGUCAAGAAAAGUCUCUAUCGAGGUUAAAGGUACCCGUACCGCAAACCGACACAGGUGGGUGAGGAGAGUAUCCUAAGGCCAGCGAGAGAACUGUUGUUAAGGAACUCGGCAAAAUGACCCCGUAACUUAGGGAUAAGGGGUGCCACCAUCAGGUGGCCGCAGAGAAUAGGCCCAAGCGACUGUUUACCAAAAACAUAGGUUUCUGCUAAGUCGCAAGACGAUGUAUAGGAGCUGACGCCUGCCCGGUGCUGGAAGGUUAAGGGGAUCUGUUAGAGCAAUCGAAGCAGUGAACUUAAGCCCCAGUAAACGGCGGCCGUAACUAUAACGGUCCUAAGGUAGCGAAAUUCCUUGUCGGGUAAGUUCCGACCCGCACGAAAGGCGUAACGAUUUGGGCACUGUCUCAACAACAGACUCGGUGAAAUUGUAAUUCCGGUGAAGAUGCCGGAUACCUGCGACAGGACGGAAAGACCCCAUGGAGCUUUACUGUAGCUUGACAUUGGGUCUUGGUACUACAUGUACAGGAUAGGUGGGAGGCUUUGAAACCAGGACGCCAGUUUUGGCGGAGCCAUCCUUGGGAUACCACCCUUGUAGUACUGGGACUCUAACCAUAGGCCAUGAAUCUGGUCUUGGGACACUGUCAGGUGGGCAGUUUGACUGGGGCGGUCGCCUCCCAAAAGGUAACGGAGGCGCUCAAAGGUUCUCUCAGUACGGUCGGAAAUCGUACGUAGAGUGUAAAGGCAAAAGAGAGCUUGAUUGCAAGACAUACAGGUCGAGCAAGGAUGAAAAUCGGACUUAGUGAUCCGGUGGUUCUGCGUGGAAGGGCCAUCGCUCAACGGAUAAAAGCUACCCUGGGGAUAACAGGCUUAUCUCCCCCAAGAGUCCACAUCGACGGGGAGGUUUGGCACCUCGAUGUCGGCUCAUCACAUCCUGGGGCUGUAGUAGGUCCCAAGGGUUGGGCUGUUCGCCCAUUAAAGUGGUACGCGAGCUGGGUUCAGAACGUCGUGAGACAGUUCGGUCCCUAUCCGUCGCAGGCGUAGGAAAUUUGAGAAGACCUGUCCUUAGUACGAGAGGACCGGGAUGGACGUACCUCUGGUGUACCAGUUGUCCUGCCAAGGGCAUGGCUGGGUAGCUAUGUACGGAAUGGAUAAGCGCUGAAAGCAUCUAAGCGCGAAGCCAACUUCAAGAUAAGAUUUCCCACCGCAAGGGUAAGACCCCAGAAAGACUAUCUGGUUGAUAGGUCGAAGGUGUAAGUG
RNAcentral lists this ribosomal RNA (2850 nucleotides) under Clostridioides difficile. RNAcentral's name for it is "bacterial LSU rRNA". It matches the Rfam family "Bacterial large subunit ribosomal RNA". Lineage: Bacteria; Bacillati; Bacillota; Clostridia; Peptostreptococcales; Peptostreptococcaceae. The record is from RNAcentral.